RNAcentral lists this ribosomal RNA (497 nucleotides) under uncultured bacterium. RNAcentral describes it as "partial 16S ribosomal RNA". It matches the Rfam family "Bacterial small subunit ribosomal RNA", at positions 28 to 507 of the family's 1533-position model. The record is from RNAcentral.
GAUGAACGCUGGCGGCGUGCCUAAUACAUGCAAGUCGAGCGAACGGACGAGAAGCUUGCUUCUCUGAUGUUAGCGGCGGACGGGUGAGUAACACGUGGAUAACCUACCUAUAAGACUGGGAUAACUUCGGGAAACCGUAGCUAAUACCGGAUAAUAUUUUGAACCGCAUGGUUCAAAAGUGAAAGACGGUCUUGCUGUCACUUAUAGAUGGAUCCGCGCUGCAUUAGCUAGUUGGUAAGGUAACGGCUUACCAAGGCAACGAUGCAUAGCCGACCUGAGAGGGUGAUCGGCCACACUGGAACUGAGACACGGUCCAGACUCCUACGGGAGGCGGCAGUAGGGAAUCUUCCGCAAUGGGCGAAAGCCUGACGGAGCAACGCCGCGUGGGUGAUGAAGGUCUUCGGAUCGUAAAACUCUGUUAUUAGGGAAGAACAUAUGUGUAAGUAACUGUGCACAUCUUGACGGUACCUAAUCAGAAAGCCACGGCUAACUACGUG